AAUUUCUCACACAUACUAAUUAUCCCACUGCAUUUAAAAUAUUCAAUUGUUUGUUUUUUAUUUUAAAAAUAAUUAAUUUUAUAUAAUAAAUAAAAUAAAUGCUUUAAAAAAAUAAAAUAAAAAAUCAAUUUUUCUUUUCUUAUUCCUAUUAAUUCUCUUUUGACCCUUUCAAAGUAUAAACAAAUCAUUUUUUAUAUUCC
Molecule: long non-coding RNA, 200 nt
Filed under: Lathyrus oleraceus (garden pea)
Lineage: Eukaryota; Viridiplantae; Streptophyta; Magnoliopsida; Fabales; Fabaceae
Description: Pisum sativum (pea) long non-coding RNA (PSAT_LNC032851)
Source: RNAcentral